Ochotona princeps (American pika) is the source of this 117-nucleotide ribosomal RNA. Lineage: Eukaryota; Metazoa; Chordata; Mammalia; Lagomorpha; Ochotonidae. The record is from Ensembl.
AUCUACAGCCAAACCACCCUUAAUGCACUCAAUCACAUCUGAUCCUGAAAAUUAGGUAGGGUUAAGCCUGGUUAGUACUUGAACGGGUAAUAACAUAUAUUCAGGAUUAAACAGAUU